RNAcentral lists this unclassified non-coding RNA (249 nucleotides) under Hevea brasiliensis (rubber tree). Lineage: Eukaryota; Viridiplantae; Streptophyta; Magnoliopsida; Malpighiales; Euphorbiaceae. The record is from RNAcentral.
AUGAACUGGCCGCCGUGGCCGUUGCCAACGUUCUUGACACCGGCGGGGUCGAAGGCGGGGCCGCCGUUGGUCUGAGGUGCGGGGACGGCCGCGACCAUGAGGACGAGGUGGAAGAGAGCGGUGAGAGCGAAGACGGCCUUCAUUGUGGUAAUGUUAAAGUGAGAGUGGGAUUUGCACCAAAGGCAAGUAGGAAGUGUAGGGAAUGUGGGGAGCACCGGGCUCAAGGCUCUGGAUGGGAGAAGAUGAACG